GAAAGGAGAGAAGGGCGCAUGAAGGAUGCCUAGGCUCUCGGAGGCGACGAAGGACGUGACAAGCUGCGAUAAGCCGCGCGUAGGGGCAAAUACCCGUUGAUGCGCGGAUUUCCGAAUGGGGCAACCCGCCGGGCGCGAGCCCGGCACCUGGCCGAGCCAGGGGCGAACCCGGGGAACUGAAACAUCUAAGUACCCGGAGGAAGAGAAAACAAACCAGUGAUUGCGCAAGUAGCGGCGAGCGAACGCGCAGGAGCCCAAACCGGGGGCGUCGCAAGGCGCCGUCCGGGGUUGUAGGACCGACGACAAAGCGUAGCGUGAAGGUUAGCCGAACCGUCUGGAAAGGCGGGCCGUAGCGGGUGAAAGCCCCAUAGGCGAAAACCGGGCAGCGCGCGAGUCGGCACCUGAGUAAGCCGGGACACGAGGAAUCCUGGCCGAAUCCGCGGGGACCAUCCCGUAAGGCUAAACACUACCGAGAGACCGAUAGCGAACCAGUACCGUGAGGGAAAGGUGAAAAGAACCCCGAACAGGGGAGUGAAACAGACCCUGAAAUCAUGCGCCUACAAGCGGUCGGAGCCACUAUGUGUGGUGACGGCGUGCCUUUUGCAUAAUGAUCCUACGAGUUGCCGUUGCCGGCGAGGCUAAGCGCGACGACGCGCGGAGCCGGAGCGAAAGCGAGUCCGAAGAGGGCGUUUUCAGUCGGCAGUGGCAGACGCGAAACCAGGUGAUCUACCCUUGGGCAGGCUGAAGGUGGGGUAACACCCACUGGAGGGCCGAACCGGUAAGCGUUGAAAAGCUUUCGGAUGACCUGAGGGUAGGAGUGAAAGGCCAAUCAAACUUGGAGAUAGCUCGUACUCCCCGAAAUGCAUUUAGGUGCAGCCUCGGAAGGAGUGUCGCGGAGGUAGAGCGACUGAUAGGAUGCGAGGGCUUCACCGCCUAUCAAGUCCUGACAAACUCCGAAUGCCGCGACAUGUUCUCCGGGAGUGAGGGCGCGGGUGCUAAGGUCCGCGUCCGAGAGAGGAACAACUCAGACCACCGGCUAAGGCCCCCAAAUACGGGCUAAGUUGAAGACAAUAACGAGGUGGGAUUGCAUAGACAGCUAGGAUGUUGGCUUGGAAGCAGCCAUUCAUUUGAAGAGUGCGUAACAGCUCACUAGUCGAGUGAUCCCGCGUGGAUAAUAAUCGGGCAUAAGUCCGCUGCCGAAGCCGUGGAAUCCGAUCAUAUUGAUCGGAUUGGUAGGGGAGCAUUCCGCAAGCCGCAGAAGGCGUGUCGCGAGGCAUGCUGGAGGUACCGGAAAAGCAAAUGUAGGUAUAAGUAACGACAAGCAGGGCGAGAAACCCUGCCGCCGCAAGACCAAGGGUUCCUGAUCAACGCUAAUCGGAUCAGGGUAAGUCGGGACCUAAGGGGCAGCCGCAAGGCGCACCCGAUGGACAAACGGUAAAUAUUCCGUUACCCGUGUAUGGAGCGAAGUGGCGACGGAGGAGUGACACAUCCGCGUGCUGACGGAAUAGCACGUUGAACCGCGUAGGUAUACUUAGGGCAGGCAAAUCCACCUUUCGUGCUGAAACGGGAUAGUACGGAGCGCCCCCGGGCAAUCCGAUAGCGAUGGUAACCAUACUCCCGAGAAAACCCGCUAAGCAUAUCCAUGCAAGGCCCGUACCCUAAACCGACACAGGUGGUCAAGUAGAGAAUACUGAGGCGCUCGAGAGAUUCACGGUUAAGGAACUAGGCAAACUGACCCCGUAACUUAGGGAUAAGGGGUCCCACCCUCCGGGGUGGGCGCAGAGAAUAGGUCCAGGCAACUGUUUAACAAAAACACAGGGCUGUGCAAAAUUUAAAGAUGAAGUAUACAGCCUGACACCUGCCCGGUGCCGGAAGGUUAAGAGGAGGCGUCAUCGCAAGAGAAGCGCUGAAUUGAAGCCCCGGUAAACGGCGGCCGUAACUAUAACGGUCCUAAGGUAGCGAAAUUCCUUGUCGGGU
Molecule: ribosomal RNA, 1977 nt
Filed under: mouse gut metagenome
Description: bacterial LSU rRNA
Rfam family: Bacterial large subunit ribosomal RNA
Source: RNAcentral